Molecule: long non-coding RNA, 402 nt
Filed under: Homo sapiens (human)
Lineage: Eukaryota; Metazoa; Chordata; Mammalia; Primates; Hominidae
Description: HSALNT0389662
Source: RNAcentral
CUCUUCGGGGACGCACGGUUGGAAGUUGUACCGUGACGUGAUGGUCAGAUCGGAUGAUAGAAUUUUGGUGCGUAACAAUUCCAACUUUUGCUUCUGUGCCCUUCAAGUGUAUUUUAUCCGUGCCCCAGUUUUGCAGAUGAGGAGACUCGGACUUAAACCUCCCCAGCAUUAAGGCAAGAAAGGUGUCUCUGUUUUUUCCGAAGUGUGCCUGCUUGACUCCUUUGAUUUUUCUCUGGGAUUCUUCAUCCUCCAUCAAGUUGAUCGAUCCCUCUGGAUCUUGGUCAGUUUCCUGACAUCUCUAUGAAGUUCAGUGACCCAGACUGAGUCCACGUCUCAAAUAAGGUUCUGACUAAUGCAGAGUCUAACAGAAAGAUUACUGAACAUGUCAUGCACUAUUAAUAA